This 20-nucleotide unclassified non-coding RNA is filed under the name Arabidopsis thaliana (thale cress). The record is from RNAcentral. Lineage: Eukaryota; Viridiplantae; Streptophyta; Magnoliopsida; Brassicales; Brassicaceae.
CCUGAAGUAGUGAUGACGCA